This 301-nucleotide ribosomal RNA is filed under the name uncultured bacterium. RNAcentral describes it as "partial 16S ribosomal RNA". It matches the Rfam family "Bacterial small subunit ribosomal RNA", at positions 509 to 807 of the family's 1533-position model. The record is from RNAcentral.
CAGUAGCCGCGGGAAUACGAAGGGGGCUAGCGUUGUUCGGAUUUACUGGGCGUAAAGGGCGCGUAGGCGGGCUGAUAAGUCGGGGGUGAAAUCCCAAGGCUCAACCUUGGAACUGCCUUUGAUACUGUUGGUCUUGAGUCCGGGAGAGGUGAGUGGAACUGCGAGUGUAGAGGUGAAAUUCGUAGAUAUUCGCAAGAACACCAGUGGCGAAGGCGGCUCACUGGCCCGGAACUGACGCUGAGGCGCGAAAGCGUGGGGAGCAAACAGGAUUAGAUACCCGCGUAGUCCCUGUCUCUUAUAC